GUGACCUGCGGAGGAUCAUUACCAAUUUCGGGGGACUUCGGUCCCUGUCUGAACCCUUGUCUUUUGAGUACCAUUUGUUUCCUUGGUAGGCUUUGCCUGCCAACAGGACACCACUUAACCUCUUGUAAUUGCAAUCAGCGUCAGAAAAACAUAAUAGUUACAACUUUCAACAACGGAUCUCUUGGUUCUGGCAUCGAUGAAGAACGCAGCGAAAUGCGAAAAGUAGUGUGAAUUGCAGAAUUCAGUGAAUCAUCGAAUCUUUGAACGCACAUUGCGCCCCUUGGUAUUCCAUGGGGCAUGCCUGUUCGAGCGUCAUUUGUACCUUCAAGCUCUGCUUGGUGUUGGGUGUUUGUCCCGCUUUGUGCGUGGACUCGCCUUAAAGCAAUUGGCAGCCGGCGUACUAGUCUGGGAGCGCAGCACAAAUUGCGCAUCUGAACCUGAACGCUUGCGUCCAUGAAGCCUAAACUUUUACGCUUGACCUCGGAUCAGGUAGGGAUACCCGCUGAACUUAAGCAUAUCAAUA
This 523-nucleotide ribosomal RNA is filed under the name fungal sp. RNAcentral describes it as "eukaryotic LSU rRNA". The stretch from base 162 to 315 matches the Rfam family "5.8S ribosomal RNA". The record is from RNAcentral. Lineage: Eukaryota; Fungi.